Molecule: long non-coding RNA, 238 nt
Filed under: Lathyrus oleraceus (garden pea)
Lineage: Eukaryota; Viridiplantae; Streptophyta; Magnoliopsida; Fabales; Fabaceae
Description: Pisum sativum (pea) long non-coding RNA (PSAT_LNC011090)
Source: RNAcentral
CCCGAGUUUGAUCAUUUGUAAUAUUUUACCAUCAUUUAAAAAAUUAAAAUUUUCAUAAUAUAUAGUUGUUUGUCAUUAUCAAAAUGGGGGAAAUUGUUGAACCAAUAUUGCUUUGAAGAACAAUGUUAUUUAAUUUGAUUUUGAUGAUAACACAAUGCAAAGGAGUAAUUUUAUCAUCUAAUGCUUGUUACCCAUGUAGGAAAAACCCUUCAUACAUAUUCAAGGAAAUAUAUCUUCU